UGGGGAAUUUUGGACAAUGGGGGAAACCCUGAUCCAGCCAUCCCGCGUGUGCGAUGAAGGCCUUCGGGUUGUAAAGCACUUUUGGCAGGAAAGAAACGUCAUGGGUUAAUACCCCGUGAAACUGACGGUACCUGCAGAAUAAGCACCGGCUAACUACGUGCCAGCAGCCGCGGUAAUACGUAGGGUGCAAGCGUUAAUCGGAAUUACUGGGCGUAAAGCGUGCGCAGGCGGUUCGGAAAGAAAGAUGUGAAAUCCCAGGGCUCAACUUUGGAACUGCAUUUUUGACUAGCGGGCUAGAGUGUGUCAGAGGGAGGUGGAAUUCCGCGUGUAGGAGUGAAAUGCAUAGAUAUGCGGAGGAACACCGAUGGCGAAGGCAGCCUCCUGGGAUAACACUGACGCUCAUGCACGAAAGCGUGGGGAGCAAACAGG
This 429-nucleotide ribosomal RNA is filed under the name Acidobacteriota bacterium. RNAcentral describes it as "Acidobacteria bacterium partial 16S ribosomal RNA". It matches the Rfam family "Bacterial small subunit ribosomal RNA", at positions 355 to 776 of the family's 1533-position model. The record is from RNAcentral. Lineage: Bacteria; Pseudomonadati; Acidobacteriota.